AUGCAUGUGUCCCCCUCCACUGUACAAGCCUACGUACAUCGCCGCACAGUGCCGCCAUUGACGGGAGCAGAGCAGCUUGUGUCUGCUGCAGUCGCGCGAUGGCUACCCGAACCAGAGGCCGAGGCUGUCGAGGACGCGGACGCCGAAGAAGGUGAGGUAGAUGACGAUGAGGCCCACCCCGUACACCCGGUCCAGCCGCAUGCCCCUCGCCGGCACCACCACCGCCGCCCACGCCAGCCCCGCGCACAGGAACCCCACCGUCUCGUACACGGCGGAGUCGGCCGGCAGCGUGAACGGCGCCGGGUACUGCGCGCCGGCCGCCAGCGUGAGGGAUAG
Molecule: ribosomal RNA, 336 nt
Filed under: Triticum aestivum (bread wheat)
Lineage: Eukaryota; Viridiplantae; Streptophyta; Magnoliopsida; Poales; Poaceae
Description: partial small subunit ribosomal RNA
Source: RNAcentral